RNAcentral lists this transfer RNA (57 nucleotides) under Thermoanaerobaculia bacterium. Its description in RNAcentral is "tRNA-Thr". It matches the Rfam family "tRNA", at positions 9 to 64 of the family's 71-position model. From Rfam's summary of the family: Transfer RNA (tRNA) molecules are approximately 80 nucleotides in length. Their secondary structure includes four short double-helical elements and three loops (D, anti-codon, and T loops). Further hydrogen bonds mediate the characteristic L-shaped molecular structure. tRNAs have two regions of fundamental functional importance: the anti-codon, which is responsible for specific mRNA codon recognition, and the 3' end, to which the tRNAs corresponding amino acid is attached (by aminoacyl-tRNA synthetases). tRNAs cope with the degeneracy of the genetic code in two manners: having more than one tRNA (with a specific anti-codon) for a particular amino acid; and 'wobble' base-pairing, i.e. permitting non-standard base-pairing at the 3rd anti-codon position. The record is from RNAcentral. Lineage: Bacteria; Pseudomonadati; Acidobacteriota; Thermoanaerobaculia.
AGCUCAGUGGCAGAGCAGCCGAUUCGUAAUCGGCAGGUCGUCAGUUCAACUCUGACC